GACGAACGCUGGCGGCGUGCCUAAUACAUGCAAGUAGAACGCUGAAGAGAGGAGCUUGCUCUUCUUGGAUGAGUUGCGAACGGGUGAGUAACGCGUAGGUAACCUGCCUUGUAGCGGGGGAUAACUAUUGGAAACGAUAGCUAAUACCGCAUAACAAUGGAUGACACAUGUCAUUUAUUUGAAAGGGGCAAUUGCUCCACUACAAGAUGGACCUGCGUUGUAUUAGCUAGUAGGUGAGGUAACGGCUCACCUAGGCGACGAUACAUAGCCGACCUGAGAGGGUGAUCGGCCACACUGGGACUGAGACACGGCCCAGACUCCUACGGGAGGCAGCAGUAGGGAAUCUUCGGCAAUGGGGGCAACCCUGACCGAGCAACGCCGCGUGAGUGAAGAAGGUUUUCGGAUCGUAAAGCUCUGUUGUAAGUCAAGAACGAGUGUGAGAGUGGAAAGUUCACACUGUGACGGUAGCUUACCAGAAAGGGACGGCUAACUACGUGCCAGCAGCCGCGGUAAUACGUAGGUCCCGAGCGUUGUCCGGAUUUGUUGGGCGUAAAGCGAGCGCAGGCGGUUUGAUAAGUCUGAAGUUAAAGGCUGUGGCUCAACCAUAGUUCGCUUUGGAAACUGUCAAACUUGAGUGCAGAAGGGGAGAGUGGAAUUCCAUGUGUAGCGGUGAAAUGCGUAGAUAUAUGGAGGAACACCGGUGGCGAAAGCGGCUCUCUGGUCUGUAACUGACGCUGAGGCUCGAAAGCGUGGGGAGCGAACAGGAUUAGAUACCCUGGUAGUCCACGCCGUAAACGAUGAGUGCUAGGUGUUGGAUCCUUUCCGGGAUUCAGUGCCGCAGCUAACGCAUUAAGCACUCCGCCUGGGGAGUACGACCGCAAGGUUGAAACUCAAAGGAAUUGACGGGGGCCCGCACAAGCGGUGGAGCAUGUGGUUUAAUUCGAAGCAACGCGAAGAACCUUACCAGGUCUUGACAUCCCGAUGCUAUUUCUAGAGAUAGAAAGUUACUUCGGUACAUCGGUGACAGGUGGUGCAUGGUUGUCGUCAGCUCGUGUCGUGAGAUGUUGGGUUAAGUCCCGCAACGAGCGCAACCCCUAUUGUUAGUUGCCAUCAUUCAGUCGGGCACUCUAGCGAGACUGCCGGUAAUAAACCGGAGGAAGGUGGGGAUGACGUCAAAUCAUCAUGCCCCUUAUGACCUGGGCUACACACGUGCUACAAUGGUUGGUACAACGAGUUGCGAGUCGGUGACGGCAAGCUAAUCUCUUAAAGCCAAUCUCAGUUCGGAUUGUAGGCUGCAACUCGCCUACAUGAAGUCGGAAUCGCUAGUAAUCGCGGAUCAGCACGCCGCGGUGAAUACGUUCCCGGGCCU
This 1369-nucleotide ribosomal RNA is filed under the name uncultured bacterium. RNAcentral's name for it is "bacterial SSU rRNA". It matches the Rfam family "Bacterial small subunit ribosomal RNA", at positions 28 to 1381 of the family's 1533-position model. The record is from RNAcentral.